Molecule: ribosomal RNA, 256 nt
Filed under: uncultured bacterium
Lineage: Bacteria
Description: partial 16S ribosomal RNA
Rfam family: Bacterial small subunit ribosomal RNA
Source: RNAcentral
UACGAAGGGGGCUAGCGUUGCUCGGAAUUACUGGGCGUAAAGGGAGCGUAGGCGGAUAGUUUAGUCAGAGGUGAAAGCCCAGGGCUCAACCCUGGAAUUGCCUUUGAUACUGGCUAUCUUGAGUAUGGGAGAGGUUAGCGGAACUCCGAGUGUAGAGGUGAAAUUCGUAGAUAUUCGGAAGAACACCAGUGGCGAAGGCGGACUAACUGGCCCAUUACUGACGCUGAGGCUGGAAAGCGUGGGGAAGCCAACAGGG